RNAcentral lists this ribosomal RNA (490 nucleotides) under uncultured bacterium. RNAcentral's name for it is "partial 16S ribosomal RNA". It matches the Rfam family "Bacterial small subunit ribosomal RNA", at positions 30 to 507 of the family's 1533-position model. The record is from RNAcentral.
AUUGAACGCUGGCGGCAGGCCUAACACAUGCAAGUCGAACGGUAACAGGAAGCAGCUUGCUGCUUCGCUGACGAGUGGCGGACGGGUGAGUAAUGUCUGGGAAGCUGCCUGAUGGAGGGGGAUAACUACUGGAAACGGUAGCUAAUACCGCAUAAUGUCGCAAGACCAAAGAGGGGGACCUUCGGGCCUCUUGCCAUCGGAUGUGCCCAGAUGGGAUUAGCUUGUUGGUGGGGUAACGGCUCACCAAGGCGACGAUCCCUAGCUGGUCUGAGAGGAUGACCAGCCACACUGGAACUGAGACACGGUCCAGACUCCUACGGGAGGCAGCAGUGGGGAAUAUUGCACAAUGGGCGCAAGCCUGAUGGAGCCAUGCCGCGUGUAUGAAGAAGGCCUUCGGGUUGUAAAGUACUUUCAGCGGGGAGGAAGGGAGUAAAGUUAAUACCUUUGCUCAUUGACGUUACCCGCAGAAGAAGCACCGGCUAACUCCGUG